UACGGGGGGAGCAAGCGUUGUUCGGAUUUACUGGGCGUAAAGGGCGCGUAGGCGGCGUGGCAAGUCACUUGUGAAAUCUCCGGGCUUAACUCGGAACGGUCAAGUGAUACUGCUGUGCUAGAGUGCGGAAGGGGCAACUGGAAUUCUUGGUGUAGCGGUGAAAUGCGUAGAUAUCAAGAGGAACACCUGCGGCGAAGGCGGGUUGCUGGGCCGACACUGACGCUGAGGCGCGAAAGCGUGGGGAGCAAACAGG
This 253-nucleotide ribosomal RNA is filed under the name uncultured bacterium. RNAcentral describes it as "partial 16S ribosomal RNA". It matches the Rfam family "Bacterial small subunit ribosomal RNA", at positions 524 to 776 of the family's 1533-position model. The record is from RNAcentral.